AAAAACACUGCAGGAGAGACUGCAGCAAAGUCAAAAACAAGGUGGGGACCAGCGACCCCUCCAGAGGGAGGAAGGACAGUCAGGAGGAGCAGGACACUUCAUUCCAUCUGUGAUUCUACCACGGCAGAGCUCGGUCACCGGAAGGAUAAUUAAAUCCGGGUCUCAUUUUCUUCUCUCGUGCAAUAAGAAGAGACAUAGCGC
This 201-nucleotide long non-coding RNA is filed under the name Homo sapiens (human). RNAcentral describes it as "HSALNT0132229". Lineage: Eukaryota; Metazoa; Chordata; Mammalia; Primates; Hominidae. The record is from RNAcentral.